This 268-nucleotide transfer-messenger RNA is filed under the name Paraburkholderia tropica. Its description in RNAcentral is "partial transfer-messenger RNA". It matches the Rfam family "transfer-messenger RNA", at positions 1 to 277 of the family's 374-position model. Rfam says of the family: Bacterial tmRNA, also known as 10Sa RNA or SsrA, is named for its dual tRNA and mRNA-like properties. Its role is to liberate the mRNA from a stalled ribosome. To accomplish this part of the tmRNA is used as a reading frame that ends in a translation stop signal. The record is from RNAcentral. Lineage: Bacteria; Pseudomonadati; Pseudomonadota; Betaproteobacteria; Burkholderiales; Burkholderiaceae.
GGGGACGUUCUUGGAUUCGACAGGGGUCCCCCGAGCUUAUUAAGCGUGUCGGAGGGUUGGCUCCGUCAUCAACACAUUUCGGUUAAAUAUAACUGACAAAUCAAACAAUAAUUUCGCAGUAGCUGCGUAAUAGCCACUGCAUCGCCUAACAGCAUCUCCUACGUGCUGUUAACGCGAUUCAACCCUAGUAGGAUAUGCUAAACACUGCCGCUUGAAGUCUGUUUAGAUGAAAUAUAAUCAAGCUAGUAUCAUGUUGGUUGUUUAUUGC